AGAGUUUGAUCCUGGCUCAGAUUGAACGCUGGCGGCAUGCCUUACACAUGCAAGUCGAACGGCAGCAUGAUCUAGCUUGCUAGAUUGAUGGCGAGUGGCGAACGGGUGAGUAAUACAUCGGAACGUGCCCUGUAGUGGGGGAUAACUAGUCGAAAGAUUAGCUAAUACCGCAUACGACCUGAGGGUGAAAGUGGGGGACCGCAAGGCCUCAUGCUAUAGGAGCGGCCGAUGUCUGAUUAGCUAGUUGGUGAGGUAAAGGCUCACCAAGGCGACGAUCAGUAGCUGGUCUGAGAGGACGAUCAGCCACACUGGGACUGAGACACGGCCCAGACUCCUACGGGAGGCAGCAGUGGGGAAUUUUGGACAAUGGGGGCAACCCUGAUCCAGCAAUGCCGCGUGUGUGAAGAAGGCCUUCGGGUUGUAAAGCACUUUUGUCCGGAAAGAAAUCGCACUUACUAAUAUUAGGUGUGGAUGACGGUACCGGAAGAAUAAGGACCGGCUAACUACGUGCCAGCAGCCGCGGUAAUACGUAGGGUCCAAGCGUUAAUCGGAAUUACUGGGCGUAAAGCGUGCGCAGGCGGUUGUGCAAGACCGAUGUGAAAUCCCCGGGCUUAACCUGGGAAUUGCAUUGGUGACUGCACGGCUAGAGUGUGUCAGAGGGGGGUAGAAUUCCACGUGUAGCAGUGAAAUGCGUAGAGAUGUGGAGGAAUACCGAUGGCGAAGGCAGCCCCCUGGGAUAACACUGACGCUCAUGCACGAAAGCGUGGGGAGCAAACAGGAUUAGAUACCCUGGUAGUCCA
This 800-nucleotide ribosomal RNA is filed under the name uncultured bacterium. RNAcentral describes it as "bacterial SSU rRNA". It matches the Rfam family "Bacterial small subunit ribosomal RNA", at positions 8 to 797 of the family's 1533-position model. The record is from RNAcentral.